Molecule: long non-coding RNA, 642 nt
Organism: Thunnus maccoyii (southern bluefin tuna)
Lineage: Eukaryota; Metazoa; Chordata; Actinopteri; Scombriformes; Scombridae
Exons: 3
Source: RefSeq, a predicted model, not a curated record
AAAUGGGUAAGUGAGUAUACUUAUAUACACCCCAAAUUUUCUCAUGAACCAAAUAAAACUUACUUGAAAUGAUUCCAUUUAUUAAAGUGAUGAUCACAUUACAGAUCAGGGAACAGAAUUUAAAAAUAAAGUGAGGUUAAAAUCAAGUAUUUACUGUACCCUAGAAUUGUUUAUCCAUGCUGACUUGUAUCAUCUUUGGCACUGUGAAAGGUUAACACUCGCCUCUGUGACAUGUUGGGUGUUAAGAGGAGCUUUUGCUCGCCUGAUCACACGCAAACAAAUGGACUUGUGGAAAAAAUUAACACCAUUCAAUGAUCUCUUAGCAACAUGGGGCCAAUAUCUGGCAGCAACCACGUUUGGACUGAGAACAAAAAAAACACCUGACAACACAAUACAGUCCAUAUUAUUUAAUGUUUGGUAGGGAGGCCAGAUACCCCUCUGAGAUACCGAGCGAGUGUGAGAUAACAGACGAUAAAGUGGAGACACCGGUGAAGGAGGAGGUUGUGUGUUAGGGACUUAUGAAACAACAUGGUGUGUAUCAGCAGGUGCAGGCAAAUGUAAGAAAAUCCCACCAAAGGGUAAGGAAAAGGAAAGAGGAGAGGGGCUAGGAUGAUAAACUCACAACAGGAGAUACUGUCUUGC